RNAcentral lists this ribosomal RNA (1542 nucleotides) under Escherichia coli. RNAcentral describes it as "bacterial SSU rRNA". It matches the Rfam family "Bacterial small subunit ribosomal RNA". The record is from RNAcentral. Lineage: Bacteria; Pseudomonadati; Pseudomonadota; Gammaproteobacteria; Enterobacterales; Enterobacteriaceae.
AAAUUGAAGAGUUUGAUCAUGGCUCAGAUUGAACGCUGGCGGCAGGCCUAACACAUGCAAGUCGAACGGUAACAGAAAGCAGCUUGCUGCUUUGCUGACGAGUGGCGGACGGGUGAGUAAUGUCUGGGAAACUGCCUGAUGGAGGGGGAUAACUACUGGAAACGGUAGCUAAUACCGCAUAACGUCGCAAGACCAAAGAGGGGGACCUUCUGGCCUCUUGCCAUCGGAUGUGCCCAGAUGGGAUUAGCUAGUAGGUGGGGUAACGGCUCACCUAGGCGACGAUCCCUAGCUGGUCUGAGAGGAUGACCAGCCACACUGGAACUGAGACACGGUCCAGACUCCUACGGGAGGCAGCAGUGGGGAAUAUUGCACAAUGGGCGCAAGCCUGAUGCAGCCAUGCCGCGUGUAUGAAGAAGGCCUUCGGGUUGUAAAGUACUUUCAGCGGGGAGGAAGGGAGUAAAGUUAAUACCUUUGCUCAUUGACGUUACCCGCAGAAGAAGCACCGGCUAACUCCGUGCCAGCAGCCGCGGUAAUACGGAGGGUGCAAGCGUUAAUCGGAAUUACUGGGCGUAAAGCGCACGCAGGCGGUUUGUUAAGUCAGAUGUGAAAUCCCCGGGCUCAACCUGGGAACUGCAUCUGAUACUGGCAAGCUUGAGUCUCGUAGAGGGGGGUAGAAUUCCAGGUGUAGCGGUGAAAUGCGUAGAGAUCUGGAGGAAUACCGGUGGCGAAGGCGGCCCCCUGGACGAAGACUGACGCUCAGGUGCGAAAGCGUGGGGAGCAAACAGGAUUAGAUACCCUGGUAGUCCACGCCGUAAACGAUGUCGACUUGGAGGUUGUGCCCUUGAGGCGUGGCUUCCGGAGCUAACGCGUUAAGUCGACCGCCUGGGGAGUACGGCCGCAAGGUUAAAACUCAAAUGAAUUGACGGGGGCCCGCACAAGCGGUGGAGCAUGUGGUUUAAUUCGAUGCAACGCGAAGAACCUUACCUGGUCUUGACAUCCACGGAAGUUUUCAGAGAUGAGAAUGUGCCUUCGGGAACCGUGAGACAGGUGCUGCAUGGCUGUCGUCAGCUCGUGUUGUGAAAUGUUGGGUUAAGUCCCGCAACGAGCGCAACCCUUAUCCUUUGUUGCCAGCGGUCCGGCCGGGAACUCAAAGGAGACUGCCAGUGAUAAACUGGAGGAAGGUGGGGAUGACGUCAAGUCAUCAUGGCCCUUACGACCAGGGCUACACACGUGCUACAAUGGCGCAUACAAAGAGAAGCGACCUCGCGAGAGCAAGCGGACCUCAUAAAGUGCGUCGUAGUCCGGAUUGGAGUCUGCAACUCGACUCCAUGAAGUCGGAAUCGCUAGUAAUCGUGGAUCAGAAUGCCACGGUGAAUACGUUCCCGGGCCUUGUACACACCGCCCGUCACACCAUGGGAGUGGGUUGCAAAAGAAGUAGGUAGCUUAACCUUCGGGAGGGCGCUUACCACUUUGUGAUUCAUGACUGGGGUGAAGUCGUAACAAGGUAACCGUAGGGGAACCUGCGGUUGGAUCACCUCCUUA